Pelodiscus sinensis (Chinese soft-shelled turtle) is the source of this 347-nucleotide non-coding RNA. NCBI's taxonomy places the organism in Eukaryota, Metazoa, Chordata, Testudines, Trionychidae. The record is from RefSeq and is a predicted model, not a curated record.
UGGAGGGAGAGGAUGUACAUGGCCUGCUCCAGGGAAGCAGCAGUGACCACCUCGAGACGCUAAGGCACUACAACACAGGCUGAAGGCCAGACACUUCCAAAGACCUCGCAGGAUCCAAAGGCAAACUGGAGCAUACAAACCCCAGAUAGGGGAGGGGAGACAGAGAUCCGCACUGAAGCUAAGACAGCUACAACAAGAAGUAACCUAGGGGAAGGCAACAGCUACCUGGUUGGAGCAACAUCUCUGGGUGUGCUGAGGGAAGCUCCAGACCAGCACUGAGCCAGCUGCUUCUCCCCACCAAAGGGGAGCUGCUUCAGAAACCUUUUUCUGAAAGAGCUCUUUUGGAA